Molecule: long non-coding RNA, 645 nt
Filed under: Homo sapiens (human)
Lineage: Eukaryota; Metazoa; Chordata; Mammalia; Primates; Hominidae
Description: HSALNT0379727
Source: RNAcentral
GUGUUGAACCCUGCCUCCCAGCCCCCACAUCACCCAACCAACCAGCAGAGAUCCUCCUUCCCAAGAAACAGAUAAAGAAACUGAGGCCCAGGAAGGCUAAGAGUCCUGCCAGGAUUAUUCACCUUUCAAGCAGCCAAGCAAGCACUGGCUGUGAGAGAUGGCUGUGAGAGAAGAUUAAAACAAUUACAACUCACCCAGUUCACAGAUGCUGAGUAACUGAUCUCCUGCCCCACUAACCUUAACGACAGCUUUCUCUGGACAAGGGACUGAUUUCAGUAACUUUCUCCUGAUAAGAGACCAUCCUCCAUGGACUGGUUCUGGCCAGUUUUAGAGGCUGUGCCUUUACGAGGCUGAGUACCUUCAUGUCCCUGCUUCACUUUUUGAUGUGUAGGGCCUAAUUAUAAUACAUUUAAAUGUCAAGUCUCCACCCCAGAAUGAACAUGCAUGUUUAUUGAAUAUGCAUGUGUUAGGACCUCUUUUAUGAGUAUUCUCAUAAAAUGAUAUAGCUCCUCUGAUAUCCUAUUGAGUAUGUAUAUGUAGCCAACUCAUUUGGCUCAAAUUCCUGUCCUCUCCCUCCCUCCCUGGAAAUGCCUGCCUCUGGCCUUGGCUGUAGGCCACACUUCCCAGCCUGUCAUAAUGGCCACC